Non-coding RNA from Hydra vulgaris (swiftwater hydra), 581 nucleotides. NCBI's taxonomy places the organism in Eukaryota, Metazoa, Cnidaria, Hydrozoa, Anthoathecata, Hydridae. The record is from RefSeq and is a predicted model, not a curated record.
GUUAACUAAUUUUUACUUUUCAAAAUGUUUAUACAUAUCUUGGCAAUUUCAGUAAUUAUUUUUAAUUACAACUUUGAUAAUAUUUAGUUACAUCUUCAGCACCUACUAUUAUGCUAAUAAUUAUAGAAUUUAAUAAUUAUUAAUUUAACAAUUAUUACUUCUUAAUAUGUGUAUAUAUAUUCCUGAUGAAUGCAAUAAAAAUUUUUUAUUAAAUCAUUUUUAACCUUAGUUCCUUCUACAUCUGCUAUUUGUGGUUGGAUACAACUGGGCAGGAAGGGGGGCGUUUGGCGUGGCACAUGUCCCGUCCCUUAUGUCAACUUAUACACCACUUGUAUAUGCUGUAAAGUAAGAAAAUUUAAUUUAAAAUUUUUCAUACAAAAUAUAAUCAUUGUUUUUUAGGUUCAAAUAUUUAUAACAAUGUAGCAUUUCACUACGAGGGUGUUAAAACGUAACAAAGACAUCAACACUUCAAUCUAAAAUAGACCACUAAUAUUUGGAAAUGGAUUGGAAGCAAAUUGGAACAAUUUUUUGUGUAUAAAGAUGACAUAUUUUAUCAGAAAAACACUCUUUCGUGUGAAAAA